CUGCUUCAGAGAUACGUGGCCUGAAACUCGCUGCUGCUGCUGUUGUUGCUGCUGCUGCCCUCCCGGCAACCUGGAACUAAAUCAUGACAUAGCCUACAUAAUUACAUGGACCACAAUCACCAGUAAUAAUCGUGAUGGCUCUGCAAAAAAUCUAAAUCUUAGAGGAGUUAAUGGAAGUUAGAGCAGAACGUUAAUCGUUAAUGACGCAUGCAUAACGCAGAUAAGGACAGUGGAAGUUUUUUUAAGUUGUAUGUACCAGAUAUUUUUGAAUGCGUCGGAAAUUUCCUGAAAAUUAUGUCUCAGAAUUAUGGCAAGAUCAUGAAACAUCUGUCUCUUGCAAUAAGAUACCGUAAAUUAAAACAAAAUAGUCGCGGAAAGAACAACUUCUUACUAUAUUAAUAACAAAUUGUCUUAAGAAAAAGACAAACUCUCUUUAGUAAAAUAACAGAAAAAAUUAAUAAAUUAUUAACAUAAAAUUCUAUAAUUAAGAUUCGUGUUAGAUAACCAAUCCUUUUUACUACACUGUCUCAUUGUGGCAAUUCCGUUUCAAUUUACGGUAUCCAAUAAUUUAUUUUAAACGCCACUGAGAAACAAAACGCUAGAAUUAACUUAUGAAACAAAAAUAGAAUGGCGUGUGUACAGGGAGAAAGUAUGCGUGCAUCGAGUCGUCGCUACGCUAACACAAACUAACAUAUAAGUGAAAAGAAAGAGGUAAAAA
Molecule: long non-coding RNA, 718 nt
Organism: Ooceraea biroi (clonal raider ant)
Lineage: Eukaryota; Metazoa; Arthropoda; Insecta; Hymenoptera; Formicidae
Source: RefSeq, a predicted model, not a curated record